RNAcentral lists this ribosomal RNA (249 nucleotides) under uncultured bacterium. Its description in RNAcentral is "partial 16S ribosomal RNA". It matches the Rfam family "Bacterial small subunit ribosomal RNA", at positions 524 to 772 of the family's 1533-position model. The record is from RNAcentral.
UACGUGGAGGGGCAAGCGUUGUCCGGAAUCAUUGGGCGUAAAGAGCGUGUAGGCGGCUCGGUAAGUCCGCUGUGAAAGUCCAGGGCUCAACCCUCGGAUGCCGGUGGAUACUGUCGGGCUUGAGUACGGAAGAGGCGAGUGGAAUUCCUGGUGUAGCGGUGAAAUGCGCAGAUAUCAGGAGGAACACCAUUGCGAAGGCAGCUCGCUGGGACGUUACUGACGCUGAGACGCGAAAGCGUGGGGAGCAAA